GAUGAACGCUGACAGAAUGCUUAACACAUGCAAGUCAACUUGAAUUUGGGUUUUUAACUUAGGUUUGGGUGGCGGACGGGUGAGUAACGCGUAAAGAACUUGCCUCACAGCUAGGGACAACAUUUGGAAACGAAUGCUAAUACCUAAUAUUAUGAUAAUAGGGCAUCCUAUAAUUAUGAAAGCUAUAAGCGCUGUGAGAGAGCUUUGCGUCCCAUUAGCUAGUUGGAGAGGUAACGGCUCACCAAGGCGAUGAUGGGUAGCCGGCCUGAGAGGGUGAUCGGCCACAAGGGGACUGAGACACGGCCCUUACUCCUACGGGAGGCAGCAGUGGGGAAUAUUGGACAAUGGACCAAGAGUCUGAUCCAGCAAUUCUGUGUGCACGAUGAAGUUUUUCGGAAUGUAAAGUGCUUUCAGUUGGGAAGAAAGAAAUGACGGUACCAACAGAAGAAGUGACGGCUAAAUACGUGCCAGCAGCCGCGGUAAUACGUAUGUCACGAGCGUUAUCCGGAUUUAUUGGGCGUAAAGCGCGUCUAGGUGGUUAUGUAAGUCUGAUGUGAAAAUGCAGGGCUCAACUCUGUAUUGCGUUGGAAACUGUAUAACUAGAGUACUGGAGAGGUAAGCGGAACUACAAGUGUAGAGGUGAAAUUCGUAGAUAUUUGUAGGAAUGCCGAUGGGGAAGCCAGCUUACUGGACAGAUACUGACGCUAAAGCGCGAAAGCGUGGGUAGCAAACAGG
RNAcentral lists this ribosomal RNA (735 nucleotides) under uncultured Fusobacterium sp. RNAcentral's name for it is "bacterial SSU rRNA". It matches the Rfam family "Bacterial small subunit ribosomal RNA", at positions 28 to 776 of the family's 1533-position model. The record is from RNAcentral. Lineage: Bacteria; Fusobacteriati; Fusobacteriota; Fusobacteriia; Fusobacteriales; Fusobacteriaceae.